This is an RNA transcript of Schistocerca americana (American grasshopper), 1526 nucleotides long. It is a transcript of the gene named SREBP regulating gene protein, with no coding region annotated. The record is from RefSeq and is a predicted model, not a curated record. NCBI's taxonomy places the organism in Eukaryota, Metazoa, Arthropoda, Insecta, Orthoptera, Acrididae. The transcript has 5 exons.
AAAGCGCAAAGCGAAGACGCAAAGCGAUGCGCGGAAUGCAAUAACAAAAACAUUUCAUAAUGUAGGCGCUAUUAAGUUUAUCUUGCUUUUAGAGGUGAGGAAUAUAUGAUCGAACAUGUGGACAGCAUUUUUAAUGCGUAUAAUAAGAAAAAGAAUUGUGCUAGGAUUGAUUUUCGCCGUCUCUUUUACUUACUGCGUGGUAAGCUUCGUGAAAGAGAAUAGCUCCCAGAAUAAUGAAAUUGAAUCCUUGCCUGUGAGAAGAUUUCAGCAACCAUUUCUGUGGCAUUCUCCAAAAGAUGAUUCAAAUGGGACAGAUGUCAAAGUUACAACUUGCAGGAAUUCUGUGCAAGGGAAGGUGCUUAUAGUUGAUGACAGAGGCUAUAUAUGUUCACGGACUGAUGUUUUAUCAACUGGAUGUUGCAACACAGAUAUAGAUACUACAAAGCAAUAUUCAUGUGAAACCUGCAAAGACAAUGGAUGCUGUAGUAUUUAUGAAUAUUGUAUAUCAUGCUGCUUACACCCAGAUAAGAAAAAUGUUUUGCAGAAUGUCUUGGGAAAAGCAUCAGAAACUUUCAAUGUGCUAUUCGCCUCUGUCACAGACCAUUUUGAGCUUUGUCUAGCGAAAUGCCGAACUAGCUCUCAGAGUGUGCAGCACGAGAAUUCUUACCGUGAUCCACGUGCGAAACACUGCUACGGUGAGACACCUGCUGCUCCAGCAGGACCAGCUGGUGAAGGUGGCACUGCACCAUCAUGAGACUGUCAGAGCAGUGUGAGUGCAUCCCUUUAAUAUGUGUGUGGGCUCAGUGAAUGACUCGGUGCUCGUGUUGUCUUUUCCCUGGUGAGUGCUCUGGACUGACCCCUAAUGACUACAGGGAAAAAAGAAACUAUCCUGCUGUUCAUUGAAAGGUUUUGGCGGUGCUCGUUGUGAGAAGAUAUUCAUAAUUGUUACUGGUAUUGUAGUCAUUACAGAAGAGUUGUGAUUCCUGUAUCGCCGACAUUGUGAUACAUCAGUGUGAUAACCACUAUAUUACAUGAAACUCUGCAGUUUCACCCUAGCACUUGUCAUUUCCCAUUAACUGUGAUUGUAUUGUUUUGCAAAAGUUAUCUCGUACAUUGCAAAGCUGCGUAAUAUAAUGAUUUUUGUAUACUUAGGGUUUUAGCAGUAUAUUUGGAAUUGUGGUAUGUCGAAGUUGGCAUGUGAUUGGAAGUUGUUGUCGAAUGUGGUUAAGAACUGUGCUCCUUUUAGACUCAAAUUUGACUAAGUCAUAAAAUAUGCAAUUUGUUUUAUAUAUGCUGUUUAUUUAUCACAGCUGUUAGAUUUUGAUGUAAUGACAUGACAGUAUUUUAUUUUAUUGAAACAGAUUAUAUUCUGUUAAUAAGUUUCAAGCAUAUAUCAGAAUGUUUUUGUUCAGAAUUGUGCGUUCCUUUAAUCUUCUGGUGCUUAAUAGAAAAUUUCUGUAAGAAAUGAACUAUGUAUGUUUUCAGUCCUUUGUGUAAUCAUAGAAAAAAAUAAUUUAAAGUUUUAA